RNAcentral lists this transfer RNA (60 nucleotides) under Dipodomys ordii (Ord's kangaroo rat). It matches the Rfam family "tRNA". Rfam says of the family: Transfer RNA (tRNA) molecules are approximately 80 nucleotides in length. Their secondary structure includes four short double-helical elements and three loops (D, anti-codon, and T loops). The record is from Rfam by way of RNAcentral. Lineage: Eukaryota; Metazoa; Chordata; Mammalia; Rodentia; Heteromyidae.
GGCACUGUGGCUCAAUGGUAGAGCACCAGCCUUGAGCUGAAAAGCUGAGGGACAGUGCCC